GAAGUGAAGAGAGGAACUGGAGAAUGGGUCGAUGCUUGAUUAUAUAUGGCUUUCUCAGGGCUGUAGCUUUCUUGGUGAUGACGGUUGCUCGAAGUUGGAAGUGAAACUGCAGAUUAAAGGCCGUGAUCGAAACUGUUACGAGGAGCAAUUUCUUUGGAGCACAGUAGGUUUGGUUUCAGUCUCGUGUCCGAUACGCAUUCUUUUCCUUCAAACUGGACUCACUCCUAUCAGCAGUUGAAGAGAAAGUCCCAGGAGCAUCAGUUUGCUGAAAUCAGUUUAGGUGGCUGGAUGUUAGUACAUGACUGAAGUGUGUAUGCCAAUUUGGGUAUUGCCGACCGAUUUGAAUCAAGUUACUGACACACAGGUCAUUGCACUACGUGUGAUGCCUUGAGAUAAAUGGCUUUGUAUUGUGAGUGGCCUUAGGCAUCACGUUUUCUAAUGUAAUAUUUUUCAUGUACUUGGUAUAAC
Molecule: long non-coding RNA, 468 nt
Organism: Vicia villosa (hairy vetch)
Lineage: Eukaryota; Viridiplantae; Streptophyta; Magnoliopsida; Fabales; Fabaceae
Exons: 3
Source: RefSeq, a predicted model, not a curated record